AAUGAACGUUGGCGGCGUGGAUUAGGCAUGCAAGUCGAGCGCUCAUAGCAAUAUGGGAGCGGCGAACGGCGUAGGAAUUCAUAGGAACGUACCCUCAGGUCGGGGAUAGCUACGGGAAACUGUAGGUAAUACCCGAUUAUCUCCGUGGAGCAAAGGUGUGAUUCCGCCUGAGGAGCGGCUUAUGCGAUAUUAGUUAGUUGGUAAGGUAACGGCUUACCAAGACAGCGAUAGGUAGGGGGCCUGAGAGGGUUACUCCCCCACACUGGUACUGAGACACGGACCAGACUCCUACGGGAGGCAGCAGUGAGGAAUAUUGGACAAUGGAGGCAACUCUGAUCCACGCCAUGCCGCGUGAAGGAAGAAUCGU
RNAcentral lists this ribosomal RNA (367 nucleotides) under uncultured bacterium. Its description in RNAcentral is "bacterial SSU rRNA". It matches the Rfam family "Bacterial small subunit ribosomal RNA", at positions 29 to 416 of the family's 1533-position model. The record is from RNAcentral.